RNAcentral lists this long non-coding RNA (296 nucleotides) under Elaeis guineensis (African oil palm). RNAcentral describes it as "long non-coding RNA (EGUI_LNC033241)". Lineage: Eukaryota; Viridiplantae; Streptophyta; Magnoliopsida; Arecales; Arecaceae. The record is from RNAcentral.
GCAGCAGGUUAUUAUCUGAGAUAAAUAUUUUCUCAGAUUACAUCAGCCCAAGACCAACUUGCCUCUUUAGUAUUAUCUGCUAAUCAGCUUAAUCCAAAAUUACUUACAAGCUUGAUGCUCACCUCGAUUUGUUUUCGAUCUCCAUCAUCUUACUUCAAUUGUUGGCCUACUUGAUUAUUGACACCAAAGGCAUAACGCCCAGUCUAGAUAGUUACUGAUGUCAGCUAUUUCACAUCAGUCUAUUACCGACGUGCCACCAUAUCUACAAACGAUUAUCUAAUAGCUAUCAUCCAGCU